Molecule: long non-coding RNA, 5739 nt
Filed under: Aquilegia coerulea
Lineage: Eukaryota; Viridiplantae; Streptophyta; Magnoliopsida; Ranunculales; Ranunculaceae
Description: long non-coding RNA (ACOE_LNC000723)
Source: RNAcentral
CCAAGAAUUAUAUGCGAGGAACUGGAUGUAGAUCUGUUUAGAGUGUUUUCUUACCAACUAUGCUGAUGAGUUAGGUACUCCUUUCUCUGGAUGCAUCCCAUGUGCAAUCUCACUAGGUAGAUCCAUCCCAAGAGGAUUCUUUUUCCUGGAUAAUUACAGUAUAAACCCUAUAAAUUAAUAGCUUUGGGACCAUCAAAAUCUAUUAAUUUAACAUGAUAUUAAUUAAUCGAUAAAUUAAUAAUCUAGUAAUUUAGCGAAGUAUUAUAUUUUUCGGUUUUAUUCGAUGCAAACUGGAGAUUUAUAGCACCUAUAAUAAAUGAUGUAGAUAAUUACCAUACCCAUUCUAUGUACAAUGUGUUAAAUAUAUUUAACAAGAAACUCAAUUAGAUUUGGCUUUCAACAAAAAAGAGUCUUAGACUCUUAGUUAAAGAAGACACAAUGAAAAAUAAAAAAUUACGUAUUUUUUAAUAGAUUAUUAUCUUACAUAAUAGAUGGUACCUAUAUAAAUAUAUAAAGGUCUCUUUAAAUUAUACAUUUGGCGAAUGUAUUAAUUUAGUGCAUUGGCCCAAAUCGGGACUAACAAAUUCUAUUAAUUAAGCGAGAUUAUUAAUUAAUCGCGUAUCAAAUUAUCGGGGUUAUACUGUAGUUGUUCAGACAUCUGACCCUAACACACUGCUUAUAAAGGGACACAAAUUCAGCAACAUGUUCAUGUCAGAUACCAAGAAAAGAAAAAUAUACGAGAAGAUUAUAAUUACAGCAAACAAGUUCUUAACAAGCACCUUUUGUCAACAAUUACCACCGAACGCAGCUCACAAUUAGCAAACCUGCAGGCAAAUGGCAAAGCAACACCACAUAAGAAUUUGUUCACUAAACAAUGUCAAAUAAAAUCAGCAAUGCGACUUGAUAAAAGACAUAAUAGAGCCCAAGCGUGUGAAGUAAACACAUAAUGCCAAAAACUAUUGUACUCCAUCCACUAUUUUACAUCCUAACAGAGGAAAUCUGAAUAUAUAUAGAAGCACAAUAAUGCCACACACUAUUUUACUCCAUCCACGACAAUGUGAAAUUCAAAAACACCAUCUCAUGCUCUUCAAUAUGAGUUUUUUUUUUAUAUGAAACAGAAAAAAACGUACAUCCACAUCUCUUUUUUUUCUUUCUCUGGAAGGAAAAAAAUGUUUGAGCAAAGCACAAGGCAAAAAAGAAAGAAAAUGGGAAUCAGAAUGCUGAGUCUACGUCUUAGAGUACAACAGCAGAACAUCAAGGGACCUGCGAACACAUGUGUAUGCCGUGUGGCUACCUAACUACCCUCCUUACAUGAUCUUACAAAUAAACCAUACUCGGGAAGGAAAUAUGUAUAGUGUCUUAAAAGAAACUACUCUGUUUUCUUUUGUGCUAACAAAGCUCUUCUUGAAGAGAAAAGGAUACAUUGCUUAAACUUACUGUGCACAGAUCUCUUCCUUCAUUGUUGGAUGCAGAUCCUUUCCAAAUGCUGCUAGAGUAUGAAACAAAAAUGCACUAUGACUAACAAUUGCAAUCUCCUUCUCUUUCCUUGUCCACAGCCUAGAGAAAAUGGAAAGUUAAGUCCAAAGAGUCAAGUAUCCAACACAGGCAGUGGAAAAAGUGGGAGAAGUAAAAUACCCAAAAAUGAAGCAAGAACUAAUAUAACUUGAGAGUUAUUCAUAAUUUAACGUUUCUUUGAAGGCUUGGGAACGACUACAAAUAGAAAGUAUAUGGUCAAAGACUCAAUAGAUAAUUUGAUCUUAGAGGCUCCAAAAACAUCUGCAUGACAGAAAAAAAAAAAAAAAAAAAGAAUUGCAGAGUAAACUAAGUUAUGUGUGUUACAUUCAGGACUCAUGUAUAGUCACUAGCAUAUAAUCAGCAAAGACCAUUUUACCUUUUGACUGUUUUUCCUUUGACAUAAAUCUCACUUUUCCUGCCACUAGGAUCCUAUAAUUUAGUGAGGUAGAAGCUUUUGGCCGGAUGGAUGCAUAUUGAAUGUGACGCGCACGAAAGGGACUCAAAUAUUCAUAAAAUGCUUUUAUAGCGUCAUUCACUACGAAUAUUAUUUACACUCCUUUAUGCGCGUCACAUUCACUAUACUAUAUGGUUACACUACUGAACAUACAAGAACCAAAGGGUAGUUUGCCAUAGGCAUGCAUCUAGCAAAAGUAGGAACACAAUCAGGAACGGCUCAAGCAAAUUUGGGGCCUUAGGCAUAUGAAAUGGACUCUCCCAAUCCUUGGUAACUCAAUCUAAAAGGUGGGCACUGCAAUAGAUGUUUCAAGCAGAUAUAAGUACUAGGUUUUUACCACAGUCAAUAUCAAUGGCAUUCUAAAAGUAAACAGAGAAAUUAUAAAUACAGUCAAAUCUUACAAAGAAGUUUUAGUUGAAAGUAAAUUUUUUAAUAAACCUGAACAAAUUCUAAAAAUCGUGAAACUAAAAUUUUCAAACCUGAUAUAUAGCCACAAAUAAUAGCGCAAAUCAAUAACAAGAUGGAACGAACAUUUCCUGCCUCAGAACAUGCCCAGGUAAGACCCAUGAACCCAAUGACCAGCAAUGCGUAUGCAGAUAGAAGGGUUCCUGUACAAAUUUCGCAUAUUAAAGACCCAGUCAACUUAAACUAACUCAUGUAUGGAACGAAGAGUACUUAAAAAAAACUAAAGGGUCUCAAUUUGUACCUGCCAACAAUUUUUACAACUGAUUCCCUCUUGUUCUUAUCUGCUCCUGUGUCAAAAUCGUACACAUCGUUGCUACCCAUGAACCACAAUUUCUCGUCAGGAACUUAAAAUUUCAGAGUACUAGAAGUAAGGAAAAUAAAUUACAUAAUUGUUUUGUGGACACUGUAAACUACUCAAUGCCUCAAUGGUCCCAUCUGUUGAUUUUAAUCAGUUAUUCUGAUGCAUCCAUCAGGCAGUCGAAACUACCAAAAAGUCUGUGCCGUAUGUGAUCUGUAGAUAUGAUCUUCAUUUUCUGACAUAUUUGACAAACAAUAUAUUUCAGGGUUUAUUUGGAAUAAUCUUACAAAGUGUUUCUGACAGUUAGUUUUCCUUUGUUUAAUGUUGUAUGUGACAGAGUAGAAGUGGUUCAGAUCUAUGUCCUCUGACAACAAACAAAAUCUAGGCUUGCUAGUGAUUGUUCCUGCCAUAUAGUAGCUGCCGUAAUCAGUUCAAUUUCUUGGAGCUGUCAAUGAAACACACGUUAAAUUGAGCCAAGUUAUGAUAAGAAAUGAAGAUGCCAACAGUACAAAGAACCGUCUUCUGCUUGCAAACAAGCAGCUGCACUACCUACCUGCCAAUAGAAAGCAUAAGAUACAGAAGGAUUAUAUGACGCCAUAGAAAAUCUAGUUGUUACAACAGCUGUUAGAUAUCAGAGAAACACGAAAAGUUACCGUUAAUAAAGUUUUCAUUAUUAGGAUAUAUGAUCUCUUCAUGAAAAACAUAAAAGAAUUCAGUUACCAAUUUUGCAACUAAGAAUCUCCUAAGAGGCCAACAAAAAAACUCUCUCAUCAGCUAAUACUUCAAUGUUUCUCCAAUCUUUUGUGAAACUACCAAGAAAACUAGGCUAAAAUCUACCAAACAAACUAUAUGAAUUAUUGGCCUCUACAAAACAAGAGUAUGCAAUUCCAUAUUAUAAACAUAAUUGAAGUAUAUAUCAGCCUCCAUUAGUGAAUGUUGAAUGUGCUUUGGAAUGACAAUGGACAUGCCGAGCAGUAUAGAGCAACCCUUGUUGAUUACAUUUUGUUGCUUUUUAAGAAUCUUUUGAUUUAUUUUUUUUUUGGUAAAAUUUUAAGAAUCAAUUAACUUCUUAACAAAUAUCUUCAAUUCAGCAUCAAUAUCUGGCAAUAAGAGUACAUUAUAGGUUGAUGUAUUGUCAUCAAUAAAUGUAUAAUUUUCUUAAAGAAAUCACCAACCUAGUGCGAAGCUACAUACAAGUUACAACGACACAACAUAGCAUAGGCAUACAAGUAUUCCCUUGUAAGUAACAAAAAAAUUCGACUCAACCUCCUCAAUUUGGUGCAUAAAAAUCAAUCCUAUCCAGGUCGCGCAAAAUAAAAUGGAACUAGAAACCCUUGGAGUGAGAAUAUAAUGAAUUUUUAUUUUCAUCAGCCUAAUUAAUUGGUUAAAUACAGUAUAGCUCCUACCUUAAAGAUUUCACUACAUUAUGUGAACUAACAAUGGAAGAAGUGUGGUUUGAACAAAAUUUAUCAGUUUCAACUUUGAAGGAAGAGUAAUAAGAGAGUGAAAAAGAUUUUUAACUUACACAAAGAGGAACCAAAGUAACAGAGUAAUUGCUCUCCAUAUCAAAGUUGCCUUUGAAAUCUCCUCUAUCACUUCCACCUCUUUUUUUUCUUCUUGGAUAGUUUCAUCUCUACUGUUUCAGAUAUAAGCUUGACAGCAUUGUUUUCUCCUCCUUAUUACGUUAGUUUUAAUGGAAAAUGUUUGAAUUGAAGAAGAAGUAGAAGCAGAUGAUUUCAAUAGUGUUUUCAGUAUUAUUAUUAUUAUUAGAGAUAGUAGUAAUUGGAACUUUGGAAGUGAAGGAGAUCUCAGAGAAGCAAUUCAAGUGUUUGCCAUUUCACAUGACUCUCACUCUCUCUCUGUUCGAAAAAAGACUAUGAUUGUUCAAUGGGCUAUAUUUGCAAGGCCAAAUUAAUUCUUCAACCAUGAAGCCCAAGAGAAAAAACUUACAGUAGUGUGGUACUGUAGUGGGAUGGGGAAGAUGCUGCUUUCAGUAGCUCUGCAAGACUGGGUUUGAACAUCCUACUCAUAUUUUGCGAUGUCUGACGUCGAACAACUGAAUCACAUGCAUGGCUUCCAGUGUCACUACAGACAGGUUCCACGCUUUACCAUCAUUGGUUUUUUGUCAAUUUCUCCAUCAAUGUCCCAAAGGCCAAAACAAGAGCUUGACAGAGUUGUUAUACUUGUACCCCAAGAAUCGAGUGGAAAAUGUAGGCUGGUGGUUUUCCCAUAAUCCACAUUUAGCAAAUAAUCAGAAAAUUGCAUAAUAAGGUACUGUGCAUGGUUUGAACAUGUUCAUUAGGCUGACAUGAACUCUGCAUUACUUUUUUUUUUUUUUUUUUUGAUAAAACUCUGCAUUACUUGAACGAUCAAAGUCCCAACAUUUUCAACCUUUCACUAUAGAGAUAGUCAGAUAGGGCUUGGAAUUGAAUUUCCAUAACGCCUCCUCUUCCUUGAUGAAUCUCCAGCAAGAAUAUUUAGAAAUAAACAUACCAUUUCCACCAAUACAAAACAAAUGUAAAAAAAUUGCUGAUCAUUCCCAAAUAUUGGGUCCAAGGAUAAACAAUACAUCCCAAUCAUGAACAGAAUAUGCAUGACUAACCAUAUUAGUUGAGGAUUAAUAGGUUACAUCGUCUUGAACCCAGAAAGAAUCACUUCCUAGUUCCUACCCUCUAAUCGAUAUCUCAAUCUCUCAUGAAAAAUGGUUUCCAAACGGCUUGAUGAUGUUGACACCCAGUUUCAAAAAUUAUAUGAGAGGAACUGGAUGUAGAUCUGUUUGAGUGUUUUUUUACCAACUAUGCUGAUGAGUUAGGGACUCCUUUCUCUGGGUGCAUCCCAUUUGCUAUCUCACUAGGUAGAUCCAUCCCAAGAGGAAUCUUUCCUGAAUAAUUAGUUGUUGAGACAUCUGACCCUACCACACUGAAUAUAAAGGGACACAAAUUCAGCAACAUGUUCAUGUCAAAUACCAAGAAAAGAAAAAUAUACGAGAAGAUUAUAACCACAGCCA